GUAAGAGUUUGAGCAGGAACCUGCCCCAUUUACAUACGUUAAAAUAAGUAUUUUAACAAAGAAUUCUGUGUUCUGGCUAAUUCUUCAUUCAGUGCCCUGGUCAGCUCUGAAAUACCAUCAAGGAGAAGUUUGGCCUCGUCAGGGAGAGGUCACAACUACAAAGGAGCAGAGGCAAGGGAGAAAGGAGCAAGCACGACGGGAUUUUUCUGAGUGCCGUAGAUCAGUGGGUUGGUCCCUCCGUGCUUCCCACGCUCUUUUUGUUGCAUUCCUGAAAGAAACAUGAUGUAGGAGGCUGCUGCGAAUCGAACAAAGUGUCCCGAAACGGCGGUGGCGUGAGUGGGGCUCCCUGCGGUUACGCUCCACCUCCUGUGAACCAGCAGAGAGGAAGCAAGCCACAAGUAAUACGAGGAAUUAUUUACACUGACUAUAUAUUUACACUGCAAUGAUCCCUGCUUCUCACGUGUGGCAUUACUCUCACUAGAAGAUGUCUGGGCUAUUGUAGCAGGGAGGGAAACUGAGGCAGCCAGCUUUGGUCCUUGGCUUGAGGAACAAGGAUGAUUGGGCUGAGUCAAUGGGGAGACCUGAGGCCCAGACAGCGUGGGUCCCAAGCCUCUGCGGGCAGGAAGAUGUGUGUCUGCUGCUCUCCUGACAAUGAAACCAGCUGUGUGUCUUGCUGCUAGCUUGACCGCUGCUUCUAAAUUUGAUCCUGGUGCAUGGAAAAACUUGUCAUCUCGUAAAACAGCUGGCUGGAGAAGCGAGCUGGCAGGCCGCAGCGGGGAGCGGUGUCCAGCGCGCAUCAUGCUUUGGCAUGUCCAACUCAGCGCCACUAGCUGCCUUGGAAGGUUUCCUGAAAUACUUGCUUUUUAUGAAAAAACCACUGCCUCUGUUGAAGCACAUCGCUCUCUCACAACCUCUCUGAAGUUAACUGGGCUGUGGGGCUGGAGCAGGCAAACAGCUGUACCUCGUGGUAACGCAGCGUGCUUGGUCAGGAUGAAAUUCAGACUGUGCUUUCCUGCUUUUAUCUGUCUCUGAACAGCCAUAAAUAGCCACGACCUGGCAACUAAAUUCAUGGAGAAGGCUUCUAGGAAAGCCUGCAAUGCACGUUGCCUUCAGGAGCCCGAUAGCCUUAUGGUAUCUGUGAAUGCUGGAGAGCCCGACCUCAGCUGAGACACCUGCGUUUCGGUUUUUCUCAAAAGCAUGACAUGGGUGUAUAAUACCUCGUAGCUGACUCAGCUCACUGAACAGCUUAUCUCAGGGGUGAAUUAAAGCAAAUCAAAGCUGGGAAAUGGUUCAGGAAGAUAGCAAUGGUAAUCAGUGAUAAGGUAUUUACAUUUAAGAUAAAAAAAAAAAAGGUUUGUUUCGGUUUUGUGUGUAAUUUUUUUGUAUUAGCUCCUAAGCAAGUGGUUAGACUUCAAGGUUCACGAGCUGCCUUGCAGCAUCUCCUUCUCAGCAUGGGAUGAUGGCAACUGGGGAACUCUGGCCAGUAUUCAAGGCUCUAAAACGUGCUGGAUGAGGUAUGGUGAUGUCUCCCAGCAUUGCCCAACUGCUGACCGCAAGUGAUCGCAUCCUGUAGUCACGUUUGACUUCUGCAAGGUUGAUGACAAAGAGCUCGAUGGGAUAGGGACUGACCCUGAUGUCAUGAUGACCAAACGAGGAUGUUUCUAUUUUAGUCUGGUUAUUUAUUUAUUUAUUUUUAACAGAUGAGGCCUGCUAAUAUGGGGUAAACAAGGAUUUUCCCCAGCGUGUGAGUAGUUGGAAAAAUAGCCAUGUGCGUGCUUUGCAACUCAAUUGACCUCUCAAUUAAAUUACUCUUGAGUAA
This is a long non-coding RNA of Oxyura jamaicensis (ruddy duck), 1819 nucleotides long. RefSeq lists it as uncharacterized. NCBI's taxonomy places the organism in Eukaryota, Metazoa, Chordata, Aves, Anseriformes, Anatidae. The transcript is spliced from 2 exons. The record is from RefSeq and is a predicted model, not a curated record.